RNAcentral lists this long non-coding RNA (317 nucleotides) under Elaeis guineensis (African oil palm). Its description in RNAcentral is "long non-coding RNA (EGUI_LNC079429)". The record is from RNAcentral. Lineage: Eukaryota; Viridiplantae; Streptophyta; Magnoliopsida; Arecales; Arecaceae.
UCUCCAUUUUAAAUUUUCUUCGAUGUCUGCCAAUUGGAAACCAACUAGCACACUUACUAAAAGCAAUUGUUCUUCAUGAGAAGAAUAUUGGAAAUGGAAGGUAGGAGCCUUGCAAAGGUUGAGAAGUUGAUAUUACAAUUUGCUAGCUCUUAGAACAAUACUGUCUGUCUAUAACAUGUUGCUAGGUAAAUAGCACCUUAAAUAAUAUGUUUAAUAGUGAAUAAAGAACCCGAUAUCUCACAAGUGCUAAGGUGUGUGACCUGUUUGGUUAAACAUCCUGGAACACGCCUCUUGGUAAAAGUUAAUGCUAGCAAGCC